Molecule: transfer RNA, 77 nt
Filed under: Burkholderiales bacterium
Lineage: Bacteria; Pseudomonadati; Pseudomonadota; Betaproteobacteria; Burkholderiales
Also listed under: 1 other name
Description: tRNA-Val
Rfam family: tRNA
About the family: Transfer RNA (tRNA) molecules are approximately 80 nucleotides in length. Their secondary structure includes four short double-helical elements and three loops (D, anti-codon, and T loops). Further hydrogen bonds mediate the characteristic L-shaped molecular structure. tRNAs have two regions of fundamental functional importance: the anti-codon, which is responsible for specific mRNA codon recognition, and the 3' end, to which the tRNAs corresponding amino acid is attached (by aminoacyl-tRNA synthetases). tRNAs cope with the degeneracy of the genetic code in two manners: having more than one tRNA (with a specific anti-codon) for a particular amino acid; and 'wobble' base-pairing, i.e. permitting non-standard base-pairing at the 3rd anti-codon position.
Source: RNAcentral
UGGCGCGUAGCUCAGCUGGUUAGAGCACCACCUUGACAUGGUGGGGGUCGUUGGUUCGAGUCCAAUCGCGCCAACCA